Molecule: long non-coding RNA, 1091 nt
Organism: Pteropus alecto (black flying fox)
Lineage: Eukaryota; Metazoa; Chordata; Mammalia; Chiroptera; Pteropodidae
Exons: 3
Source: RefSeq, a predicted model, not a curated record
GGAGACCAUUUAUUUGGGUUUGGGGUUUGUCCCCAGGUCAAGACUGGGAUUCCCAGAACAUGUGGUAGGGAGGCGCGGGAGGCUUUCCAGAGCUUCUACUUAGCCAAAAUAGUAACUCCCUUCUUACACCUUACCCAUCCCUAACCCGGAGCCUAAGUUACCUGAGGAGGCCCUCAGGACCCGAGGCAGUUGAAUUUAAUAAUAUAGUGCCAGACCGACCUGGCCCAGCCAGGCUCCGAUCAGAAGCAAGGCAUUUCCCCUCUUCUCUCUGCUCUGCUAGUAAUUUCGGUGAAAAGUAGAAAAGAGGCCUAAGGGAGAAAUGGACGGCGCUCGGCCCCCAAUUGCUGCUGAUUUUCCAGGCUUUUAGAGGGAGAUGAGAAUGGACCUAUCAUGUGAAGAAUUUCCUGCUUGACUUGGGUAUAGUCUGAAGAAUCAAUCCACUGAGAGGAGAGAAGCUGAAGCCAAUGGAGGGAGAGUGGGUAGAGAAUGUGCCAUCCAGUGUCUGGUCAUUGCAUACUUCAGGAUUGGACUCCUGGGUGCUUGCUUAAUAUGGGUCUGUCCCCAAGAGACUGCUCACCUCUGCGUGUUAUGACAAAAAUGAGUGCCUGGGUUUGUCAAGGAAAUGGCCAGACCCUCGAGGACAGGGGCCCUCAGUUUUCCCAGGUGACGUGUCUCUUUCGGUAUGCUCUCCACGCAGUGCUGUAACUUAAAUUCUUCCACUGAAGACCCUGAGAAGCUAUACAUAGAGAAACUUGGGCCUUGUUUCUAAUAUAAGGAAGUUUAUAGCUCUGAAUUAUAUUAAUUCUGUAUUACACCUAAUGUUAUUCUUGCUCAACAGUUAUUUUUUCUCUGGCCUCAGUUUUUGAGGUGUUAAUUCAUUAAUUUGUAAGCUGAUUGUUGCUUUGGUCUGCCAGGCACCAAGCUCCAGGCUUUCAACAAAGGCUCUUCAGACAACAUGAUAGCCAAGAUAAACUGACCUGCGGAGCCAAGUUUACAAAAGCUGAGAGAAGUCUCUCUGCUAUCUUGGCCUACUACUGUGGCAGAGUGCUGAAUAAUUAUUACAUAGCUGCCCUCUGUAGCACUUUCCCUCC